Papaver somniferum (opium poppy) is the source of this 1850-nucleotide long non-coding RNA. RefSeq lists it as uncharacterized. The transcript is spliced from 4 exons. The record is from RefSeq and is a predicted model, not a curated record. Lineage: Eukaryota; Viridiplantae; Streptophyta; Magnoliopsida; Ranunculales; Papaveraceae.
GCUAAAAACUCGAUGAUCAAUCACAUAGUUUUCUUACCUUUGAUUUUUCUUUUCGGGGCUUAUUUUGUUCAUCAUGUUAAUCUUGGUGAUGUUCUCCAUGAUUUUUAAUUUGAUUUCGUUCCCAGGGAAGAUGAAUCAACAAUUUUUGGGAAUAAAAAUCAGAUUGCAGGUAUGAUUUUGUGAGUCCCUGAAGAAUCAAAUUUUAGUUUGUUGUUUGUAUCAACAGUUAUUAUUUUUACUUGCUUCUCUCCCUCUCCUAGUGAGCCAGUCGUGGGGAAUGGUGGCGUAAGGGAUUAAGUUUGCUUAUAAUGUUGUUGAAGGUAAUAAUAAUAUCAUUUGUUUUGUACUUCCAGCUUUGAACCUGGGUUUCUUAAAAACAAUAACUAGUUAAAGAAUUUAAAUUUGUGUAUUGGAGUUACUAUUUUUCUUCUUAUUUUUCUUCUAAAUAAGAAGAACCGUGAUCGGAAUCAUCAAAACCUCUUUUACUUCCAUCCAAUUUCCUUCUUACCGACUUUAGUCUUAUCUUUCACAACAAUCGUCAUUUGGUCAAGAAAUUUCAUUGAUCUCUCAAAAUUCACUGGGUAAAAUCAUAAAAGCCAUACAGGUUUGGAUCUUCAAUUUUUUUGGUUUCUUGGAGUUCUUUUUUGUUUGUCGUUAUUAAGAAUUUGAGGGGUUCAUUGUUAACUAAUUGUAACUUCGUGUUGAUGGGGUGAUUUUCAAUUGCAUAUUUACACAAUAUUAGAUUUACCAUCGAUGUCAUUUUUGAAGAGACAUACAAUUAUCUAGGGUUUAAUUAGCAGUUUAUGAUUUCGUGAUCGUAGCAGUAUUUUAGGUUCGUUUCUUUAAUGACUUGAAUUCAAUAGUGCAUGUCUUUUAAUAUCAAGUUUCGGUAGUUUGUUCUUCAAACUCUUUUCUUUCAAUAUAUUGUUAAUAUUUCUGAGUUCUUACCGCUUUGGUUGCAAUCCAAACCAUUUCAAAAUGGUUCAAAAAGUAACAAAGUUUCUUAGCUCCAUUGGACAUCAUUUUGCACCGAUCAGUCCUAUCAUGACCCCUUUGUAAGUUUUGAUCACCCAAUUUACAUAUUUUCGAUACAUGAUUUCCACGGAAUUUAUUCGCUUCAUUUUGUAAUUUCCAGCGUGUUGCGUCAUUUCUCGAUUUGGUGUUACACCCUUACAGGGUUGUUAAUGAAGUUAGUAUGGUUAUUUUAUUUAAGCACUUGAACCCAAUGUCGUUCAUUCAGUGCGAAGAAGGGAAACCACGAUAUAUACUCAUCUUGGGGUCAGCCAACCACGGUCUUUGUCCUUUUGUUCAUUCUUUGGAGGUUACAUCGUGCCGCUCAGUCAUGUAACUGUACUAUUAGGUUCGUAUUCAAGCAGUGGCAAUGAAGAGAAUUCGAUUCAACAAUGAGUCAUCAAGGAUGACAAUAUGUUGCCGACGAUUUGCAAGUAUGGUGGGUGUUUCACUAGCAAAGGCCGAAGGUCUCUUUGGAAUGAUUGGGAAAUCUUUACAUCGUUGUAGAGGGACCAUGGUGAAAAAAUUAAUAAAGAAUGGUGAAAACAAUUAAGCUGUCAACCCAACUUGGCAAUGCACGUUGAAUGAAAUUAGUUGAGGUCCAAGCAGCAGACGACACUGAUCCAACGUGUUUGAAACUAUUCCAAAUAGCAUAAACUCAGGUGUUUGCUGAACGUUGCAACAAACAUGGCAAAAGAAUUCCAUCAUGGGAAUGGACGCAUCGGUGAAUGCUAAUUAUUUGGUUGUGUUUACCUAAGUUUGUCAAUGAAUUCAACCGCACAACUCCUAGCUCUAUAGAGUUGAUCAUUUGUCCAUGAAAAAUUUAUUUUCAUUUCUUA